GUGCUUCUGGGAAAACCAGGCCAUUCCACAGAGGAGCUUAUCAGGGAUUUCGCAGCCCAGUUGGCCACAGGCGGGCAGGGCUGCGGGGAUGUGCCAAGCGCUGGGAUGGAGCCGUGGUGGGGCCCUUGCUCAGCUCAGCCCACCCACCCCCUUCCUGCUGCUGCCGGACCAGGGCCGGCUGCCUUCCUCUGAGGCCAUCUGAAGGGGAGCUGGCA
Molecule: long non-coding RNA, 215 nt
Filed under: Calidris pygmaea (Spoon-billed sandpiper)
Lineage: Eukaryota; Metazoa; Chordata; Aves; Charadriiformes; Scolopacidae
Description: lncRNA (ENSCPGG00000004860.1)
Source: RNAcentral